CGAGAGGAGGGAUGGUGAUAGCAACAGUAGUAGCGCUCCACAGAAUUUUCAUGAAGACAAAACAUCCUUCUCAAAGCUCCUGGUCCACAGAAAACACUCCCCACACAGGAGCAGGUGUGUUAUCAACAGUGUUGUUAACAGCAGAGAAGAACCAGUUUACAGUGAGGACUUGAGGUUCAACAUUUAAAAUCUAAGAACGCAGGUCAGGCAUGGUGCCACACACCUGUAAUCUCCGUACUGGAGAGGUUGUGGCAGGAUGAUUGCAAGAUCAAGGCCAGCCUGAACUAUAGAAAGAGACCUUAGCUCAAUUUCUUUUUUAAAUCUACAAACCCAGAGAAAGGUAACAGCACACUUUUAUGACUACAUAAGAAAAGCUGGAGUCACUGCAGUCCCCGAGGGGCAGAAGGGCUGGGGGGUUACUCAGUGGUCAGCAUCACUGUGUGCAUUUGUUAAAAGAACAAGUUGCUCCAUCUCACAGCAGACAUGCCUGCUAAGGGGAGAGAGCAGGCAUUCAAGGAAACAGAAUAGAAUUCUGGGGCUGGUGAGACAGGCAAAGGAACCUGACAUGCUGUUUGAUCCCUGGGACCCACAGGCUCCAAGGACAGAGCUGACUAUGGCAAGUUGUCUUCUGAAAACAAUUCUGAUGCUGAGCUGGGCUGGAGUGAAGAUUUCCACAACAAAAUAAAGAUGAUUGUGCACUCCCAACACUGAAUCCCAGAAAAAUCCAUCAAAUGCUGUAAAGGAGACGACAGAAGAAAAGACAUUAAGAAUGACUAAAAUCAAGAAGUGCCGGUUUCCUGAUCCUGAGUUAGCCAAGAGAAGACACAAAUCAAAUCCAGGGAGAUGCAGGGGAGGCCCAAUGUCUGACGAUGCAAGGAACCCAGCAAAACAAUCUCCUGGGACACAGGUAGAAGAGGCAGGGUCAGAAGCCAAAGCACAUUUGUGCUGGAGCCAGCUAAAGCCUUGGAGCUACCGAGUAUCCAUGGAGACUGUCUAAAACCUCG
This 1004-nucleotide long non-coding RNA is filed under the name Cricetulus griseus (Chinese hamster). RNAcentral describes it as "lncRNA (ENSCGRG00000025267.1)". Lineage: Eukaryota; Metazoa; Chordata; Mammalia; Rodentia; Cricetidae. The record is from RNAcentral.